RNAcentral lists this ribosomal RNA (450 nucleotides) under uncultured bacterium. RNAcentral's name for it is "partial 16S ribosomal RNA". It matches the Rfam family "Bacterial small subunit ribosomal RNA", at positions 354 to 796 of the family's 1533-position model. The record is from RNAcentral.
GUGGGGAAUUUUGGACAAUGGGCGAAAGCCUGAUCCAGCAAUGCCGCGUGUGUGAAGAAGGCCUUCGGGUUGUAAAGCACUUUUGGCAGGGAAGAAACAGUGCGUGCUAAUACCAUGCGCGAAUGACGGUACCUGCAGAAUAAGCACCGGCUAACUACGUGCCAGCAGCCGCGGUAAUACGUAGGGUGCAAGCGUUAAUCGGAAUUACUGGGCGUACAGCGUGCGCAGGCGGCUUUGUAAGACGGAUGUGAAAGCCCCGGGCUCAACCUGGGAAGUGCAUUCGUAACUGCAAGGCUAGAGUGUGUCAGAGGGAGGUGGAAUUCCGCGUGUAGCAGUGAAAUGCGUAGAGAUGCGGAGGAACACCGAUGGCGAAGGCAGCCUCCUGGGAUAACACUGACGCUCAGGCACGAAAGCGUGGGGAGCAAACAGGAUUAGAAACCCGGGUAGUCC